Molecule: ribosomal RNA, 353 nt
Filed under: Enterobacteriaceae bacterium
Lineage: Bacteria; Pseudomonadati; Pseudomonadota; Gammaproteobacteria; Enterobacterales; Enterobacteriaceae
Description: bacterial SSU rRNA
Rfam family: Bacterial small subunit ribosomal RNA
Source: RNAcentral
CGGUAAUACGGAGGGUGCAAGCGUUAAUCGGAAUUACUGGGCGUAAAGCGCACGCAGGCGGUCUGUCAAGUCGGAUGUGAAAUCCCCGGGCUCAACCUGGGAACUGCAUUCGAAACUGGCAGGCUAGAGUCUUGUAGAGGGGGGUAGAAUUCCAGGUGUAGCGGUGAAAUGCGUAGAGAUCUGGAGGAAUACCGGUGGCGAAGGCGGCCCCCUGGACAAAGACUGACGCUCAGGUGCGAAAGCGUGGGGAGCAAACAGGAUUAGAUACCCUGGUAGUCCACGCCGUAAACGAUGUCGACUUGGAGGUUGUGCCCUUGAGGCGUGGCUUCCGGAGCUAACGCGUUAAGUCGACC